RNAcentral lists this unclassified non-coding RNA (200 nucleotides) under Stachybotrys sp. RNAcentral describes it as "partial internal transcribed spacer 2". Lineage: Eukaryota; Fungi; Ascomycota; Sordariomycetes; Hypocreales; Stachybotryaceae. The record is from RNAcentral.
UUAAGUUCAGCGGGUAUUCCUACCUGAUCCGAGGUCAACGUUCAGAAAGUCGGGGGUUUUACGGCGUGGCCGCGCCGCGCUCCAGUGCGAGUUGAUAACUACUGCGCAGGGGAGGCUGCGGCGGGACCGCCACUGUAUUUGGGGGACGGCGCCGCGCGGGGCGGGCCGAUCCCCAACACCAGGCUCCGACCGCGCGAGGC